GCCUCCGUGGCGCAAUCGGCUAGCGCGUUCGGCUGUUAACCGAAAGGUUGGUGGUUCGAGUCCCCCCGGGGGCG
Molecule: transfer RNA, 74 nt
Filed under: Cimex lectularius (bed bug)
Lineage: Eukaryota; Metazoa; Arthropoda; Insecta; Hemiptera; Cimicidae
Description: tRNA-Asn
Rfam family: tRNA
About the family: Transfer RNA (tRNA) molecules are approximately 80 nucleotides in length. Their secondary structure includes four short double-helical elements and three loops (D, anti-codon, and T loops).
Source: Rfam by way of RNAcentral